UGGCACACCUGAAGCACCACCUGCGAG
Molecule: unclassified non-coding RNA, 27 nt
Filed under: Mus musculus (house mouse)
Lineage: Eukaryota; Metazoa; Chordata; Mammalia; Rodentia; Muridae
Description: oocyte_clustered_small_RNA11671
Source: RNAcentral